GCAAACUCUUUUUGGGGGUGGUCGACCCUGCAACAUGUCUGAUGCCCUGUGAGUGUUGGUGAGAGUCUCCCUAACCUGGGGCUCUCUUCAAGAACCAGCAUAUGGGCAUUGACCUCUGGAGACCUCUUUUUCAGCUGCAGGAAAUUUUUUCAGAUACUGUGAUUGAAAAAUCACUCCAGCUGUGGAUAAGUAAGGAAUAAAGGAAGAGGAAAAGGGCUUGGAGUAAAGUAGAAGAGAAGGACAGAAGAUUAGGGAGACUGGGGUCUUGGAAGCAGGGCUUCGGGUGAGAGACGAGCAGAGGUGGGGAGGUGCCCGGCUCCGGAACCAGCUCCUGCACCUGUCCGUGCACCCAAGCCACACAGCAUUUAAUUGGCCCAGGACGCUAUCUUGUCUGGAUGUCACCCUGAGCAGAACCUUGAGAAUCAAAGGAUCUGAGAAGCAGGAGCAAAGAACUCAGGGAGAGAUCCAGGAAGACAUCUGACUCUGUUAAGAGACGACAGUCACAGUGACACAGGGAGCGAAGACACUUGCAGCAAAGCAAAAUGACUUCACAACGAUUGCAUCAGAGCUGCAGGUGUGAGAGAGCCUAAACCUGUCUCAGAGUGCAGGGGACAAGUGGAAAGGAAUGUGUAAGAAUGCCGGUGACUCAGUUAGAAGCAUACUUCGAAGCUGUCCGUUUACUUGCCAUCC
This is a long non-coding RNA of Camelus dromedarius (Arabian camel), 690 nucleotides long. RefSeq lists it as uncharacterized. The transcript is spliced from 3 exons. The record is from RefSeq and is a predicted model, not a curated record. Lineage: Eukaryota; Metazoa; Chordata; Mammalia; Artiodactyla; Camelidae.